Molecule: ribosomal RNA, 501 nt
Filed under: uncultured Glomeromycotina
Lineage: Eukaryota; Fungi; Glomeromycota
Description: partial small subunit ribosomal RNA
Rfam family: Eukaryotic small subunit ribosomal RNA
Source: RNAcentral
CCAAUAGCGUAUAUUAAAGUUGUUGCAGUUAAAAAGCUCGUAGUUGAAUUUCGGGGUUUAUCCGUUGGUCGGGCUUUUGGGUCUGUACUGGCGUGAUGGAUUCCUACCUUCUGAAUAACCAGCAUGCCAUUAAUUUGGUGCGCUGGGGAAGCAGGACUGUUACCUUGAAAAAAUUAGAGUGCUUAAAGCAGGCUAUUGCCUGAAUACAUUAGCAUGGAUUAAUGAAAUAGGACGUAUGGUUCUAUUUUGUUGGUUUCUAGGAUCACCGUAAUGAUUAAUAGGGAUAGUUGGGGGCAUUAGUAUUCAAUUGUCAGAGGUGAAAUUCUUGGAUUUAUUGAAGACUAACUUCUGCGAAAGCAUUUGCCAAGGAUGUUUUCAUUAAUCAAGAACGAAAGUUAGGGGAUCGAAGACGAUCAGAUACCGUCGUAGUCUUAACCAUAAACUAUGCCGACUAGGGAUCGGACGAUGUUAAUUUUUUAAUGACUCGUUCGGCGCCUUACG